GUUUUUGCUUUGGAAGCACAUACGCAAAACCGGAACCAUACAGAGAAGAUUAGCAUGAUCCCUGCAUAAGAAUGACACGAAAAUUUGUGAAGGUAAAUUAAAAAAA
This 106-nucleotide small nuclear RNA is filed under the name Propithecus coquereli (Coquerel's sifaka). The record is from RNAcentral. Lineage: Eukaryota; Metazoa; Chordata; Mammalia; Primates; Indriidae.